This 319-nucleotide long non-coding RNA is filed under the name Zostera marina. RNAcentral's name for it is "long non-coding RNA (ZMAR_LNC000667)". The record is from RNAcentral. Lineage: Eukaryota; Viridiplantae; Streptophyta; Magnoliopsida; Alismatales; Zosteraceae.
UUCGGCAUAGGUGUCAGUUCCCCCUCCUUAGCCCCUUUCUUAUAACCCAUUACAACGCCACCACUACCUCUGCUUGAAUCUUCAAUCUCGAAAGAAGGUUUCUUUUCUACCACAGGUGGUGGCUCUGAUUUCACGCUCAAGGAAUCCUUCUUCCCCCUGCGGGAGGAUCUGGAAGAUACUCCUUUCCUUGCGCAGGUUAUGUGAGUCGAGAUUGACGAACGAGGAAGAGCAUGGAAAGUGGAGAAGAGGCCGAUAACGACGCUAUCCGUGUAGAUCAGAGCCAUCGGUGACACCGUGGUUCACUGAGGGAAAAGAGAAC